UGUGGCUCAGCAGUAGAGUUCCUGCCUAGCAAGCAUGAAGCUCUGGGUUCAAAUCCCAGUACCACAA
RNAcentral lists this transfer RNA (67 nucleotides) under Dipodomys ordii (Ord's kangaroo rat). It matches the Rfam family "tRNA". Rfam says of the family: Transfer RNA (tRNA) molecules are approximately 80 nucleotides in length. Their secondary structure includes four short double-helical elements and three loops (D, anti-codon, and T loops). The record is from Rfam by way of RNAcentral. Lineage: Eukaryota; Metazoa; Chordata; Mammalia; Rodentia; Heteromyidae.